GGAGAGAGAGAGAGAGAGAGAGAAAGAGAGAGAGAGAGAGAGAGAGAGAGGGAGAGGCAGAGACCAGGCCCUGCAGAGAUCGGGGUUUGCUCCUUCAUAAAACUCCUGCAGGAUUAUUUUCGUAGACGUUUUCUCAGCUCUCCUUCUCUGAGUUUUGCAGAUCUUUGUCGUAUCUCCGGCAGGCCGUCUUCUUCUGCACAGACCACAGAAGGUGCUGCUUUGUUGUCCUGCUGGUGUGAUGGACAGUGUCUGCCAUGUUUUUGUUUCCCAGAGCUGCAUCGACUGGAACAGAGACGUCCUGAAGAGAGAGCUGGGCCUGGAGGAGGCAGACAUCAUCGACCUGCCGAUUCUCUUCCAGGUCCAUUGGUCAGGACCGGAGGAGCCGCACAGAGCUUCAGCUUUCUACCCUGACAUGGUAUUUCCAGAGAUGGAACAGAGAUGUGAUCAUGUUAGCUCUCAUUCUUGGUCUCAUGUUUGUUAUCAUCUGUUUCUAGGUGAACAUGGUGGUCUUGGGGAAAAACCUCGCCAUCCCAAAGCCGUAUGGCCCCAAAGUGAACGGCCGCUGUGCCCUGGAGACCGAAGUGAGCUCCCUGCUGGAGGGUCUGGGUCUCAGCUGCACCUUCAUCGAUGACUUCGCCUCCUACCAUGAAAUGCUGGGAGAGCUGCACUGCGGCUCCAACGUCCUCAGGAAACCGUUUGACUUCAAGUGGUGGAACAUGGAGAUGUGAGGGGAACUGGAGAGGGGACAGAGAUGGUUUCUGAAGAUACUUGAUAGAAAAUAAAACAUGUUCAGUCUGUUAAAGUUAGAAAAGCUUUUUUUGGAUCAUGUUUAUCGAUGGUUUCCUUUUCGCUUGUUUCUGUUUCAGCCUGUGACGAGUGUUUAAUGAAAAUCGCUUUAACACGUGAUUAUAAGUCCAUGCGGUGAUUUCCACUUCAGAGUCAUGUCUGUUUUUGAUGUGGUGCCUCCUGAAGGCCUGAGAAUCACAGCCAUCCAGUAUCCAGGAUGUACUUUAGUGCAGAUUCUUCUCCAGCACAUUUCUUUUUAAUAUUGUUUGCUGUAAACUGAUGAAAUCCAACAUUUGAUCUGUUUCAUUGCAGUUUUAUUUUCAUUAAAUAUCGGCUCUAAACAAGCUGUGAAAUCAUCAAA
RNAcentral lists this long non-coding RNA (1147 nucleotides) under Xyrichtys novacula (pearly razorfish). Lineage: Eukaryota; Metazoa; Chordata; Actinopteri; Labriformes; Labridae. The record is from RNAcentral.